UACGUAGGGUGCGAGCGUUGUCCGGAAUUAUUGGGCGUAAAGAGCUUGUAGGCGGUUUGUCGCGUCUGCUGUGAAAAUCCGAGGCUCAACCUCGGACUUGCAGUGGGUACGGGCAGACUAGAGUGUGGUAGGGGAGACUGGAAUUCCUGGUGUAGCGGUGGAAUGCGCAGAUAUCAGGAGGAACACCGAUGGCGAAGGCAGGUCUCUGGGCCACUACUGACGCUGGAGAAGCGGAAAGCAUGGGGAGCAACAGG
This 254-nucleotide ribosomal RNA is filed under the name uncultured bacterium. Its description in RNAcentral is "partial 16S ribosomal RNA". It matches the Rfam family "Bacterial small subunit ribosomal RNA", at positions 524 to 775 of the family's 1533-position model. The record is from RNAcentral.